CUUUGUCAGAUCAGACAAGCGACAUAAUAACCUUAAUACGUUUACAACAGUAGGACUUUGUAGAAAGGUCGGGAAUCCAUCACUUGCAUCCUUCAACGUCUGUGUAAGUCAGGAAUCCAACCAUGAAGCUCAUCCACACAGCACUGCUUCUUGUCUGCUGCAUCCUCGUCACACAAGCCAUUGAGAACAAGCUGAGCCAACUUUUGAAUGUGGCCAAACGUGAUGACCAACAGGAGCAUGUUGAAC
Physella acuta is the source of this 246-nucleotide long non-coding RNA. RefSeq lists it as uncharacterized. Lineage: Eukaryota; Metazoa; Mollusca; Gastropoda; Physidae. The record is from RefSeq and is a predicted model, not a curated record.